This 464-nucleotide ribosomal RNA is filed under the name uncultured bacterium. RNAcentral describes it as "bacterial SSU rRNA". It matches the Rfam family "Bacterial small subunit ribosomal RNA", at positions 331 to 792 of the family's 1533-position model. The record is from RNAcentral.
CCAGACUCCUACGGGAGGCAGCAGUGAGGAAUAUUGGUCAAUGGGCGGGAGCCUGAACCAGCCAAGCCGCGUGAAGGAAGAAGGCGCCAGGCGUCGUAAACUUCUUUUGUCGGGGAACAAAGGGCGCCACGUGUGGCGUUGUGAGUGUACCCGAAGAAAAAGCAUCGGCUAACUCCGUGCCAGCAGCCGCGGUAAUACGGAGGGUGCGAGCGUUAAUCGGAAUUACUGGGCGUAAAGCGCACGUAGGCUGUAUGACAAGUCAAGGGUGAAAUGCCACGGCUCAACCGUGGAACUGCCUUUGAAACUGUCAAACUGGAGUAUGUGAGAGGGCGGCGGAAUUCCUGGUGUAGGAGUGAAAUCCGUAGAUAUCAGGAGGAACAUCAGUGGCGAAGGCGGCCGCCUGGCACAAAACUGACGCUGAGGUGCGAAAGCGUGGGUAGCAAACAGGAUUAGAUACCCUGGUA